UGCUACAGUCUAAACCAAUAACCUGCAUAGAAAGAUGCAUCACUUUCUGUGAGUUAUUAAACAUUAUUAUUAGUAUCAUCCUAUUUGGAGCCUAAAAGGGACAAUUACUCGGUCAAACAUAGGUUGAGACAAGCAUAGUAAGCUUUAUCAUGAAGUAACAUAAAAUCAAAUAUCAAACAAAAAUUCAGAUUUUUCAAUAAACCUGGCUGCUUUGUUUUAUCAGCCAGUACGUGUACAUGUGUGUAUGUUUCUUAACAAACAUAAUAAAUACAGUGGCAAAAGAUAUCAAGACCUAAAUAAUUCAGAAUAGCUUCCAAAGUACAGGAACCAAUAUGGA
Molecule: unclassified non-coding RNA, 337 nt
Filed under: Hevea brasiliensis (rubber tree)
Lineage: Eukaryota; Viridiplantae; Streptophyta; Magnoliopsida; Malpighiales; Euphorbiaceae
Source: RNAcentral